GGGGAGGGGGGUUGCUUACCAUGCAAGUCGAACGAUGAAGCUGGGGCUUGCUCUGGUGGAUUAGUGGCGAACGGGUGAGUAACACGUGAGUAACCUGCCCCUGACUCUGGGAUAAGCGCUGGAAACGGCGUCUAAUACCGGAUAUGCACGGUAACCGCAUGGUUUGUCGUGGGAAAGAUUUAUCGGUUGGGGAUGGACUCGCGGCCUAUCAGCUUGUUGGUGAGGUAAUGGCUCACCAAGGCGUCGACGGGUAGCCGGCCUGAGAGGGUGACCGGCCACACUGGGACUGAGACACGGCCCAGACUCCUACGGGAGGCAGCAGUGGGGAAUAUUGCACAAUGGGCGCAAGCCUGAUGCAGCAACGCCGCGUGAGGGAUGACGGCCUUCGGGUUGUAAACCUCUUUUAGCAGGGAAGAAGGCUUCGGUUGACGGUACCUGCAGAAAAAGCGCCGGCUAACUACGUGCCAGCAGCCGCGGUAAUACGUAGGGCGCAAGCGUUAUCCGGAAUUAUUGGGCGUAAAGAGCUCGUAGGCGGUUUGUCGCGUCUGCUGUGAAAACUGGAGGCUCAACCUCCAGCCUGCAGUGGGUACGGGCAGACUAGAGUGCGGUAGGGGGAGAUUGGAAUUCCUGGUGUAGCGGUGGAAUGCGCAGAUAUCAGGAGGAACACCGAUGGCGAAGGCAGAUCUCUGGGCCGUUACUGACGCUGAGGAGCGAAAGGGUGGGGAGCAAACAGGCUUAGAUACCCUGGUAGUCCACCCCGUAAACGUUGGGAACUAGUUGUGGGGGCCUUUCCACGGUCUCUGUGACGCAGCUAACGCAUUAAGUUCCCCGCCUGGGGAGUACGGCCGCAAGGCUAAAACUCAAAGGAAUUGACGGGGACCCGCACAAGCGGCGGAGCAUGCGGAUUAAUUCGAUGCAACGCGAAGAACCUUACCAAGGCUUGACAUAUACGAGAACGCUGCAGAGAUGUAGAACUCUUUGGACACUCGUAUACAGGUGGUGCAUGGUUGUCGUCAGCUCGUGUCGUGAGAUGUUGGGUUUAAGUCCCGCAACGAGCGCAACCCUUCUUUCUCUGGUUGCCAAGCACGUUUAUGGGGGAAACUCAGGGGAAAACUGGCCGGGGUUCACUUCCG
Molecule: ribosomal RNA, 1133 nt
Filed under: Microbacterium sp.
Lineage: Bacteria; Bacillati; Actinomycetota; Actinomycetes; Micrococcales; Microbacteriaceae
Description: bacterial SSU rRNA
Rfam family: Bacterial small subunit ribosomal RNA
Source: RNAcentral